AGUUAGACAUGCUUAGAAACAUUACUAACAUGUGCUUUGUUUAGUAAAACAAUUGGCUUCAGAUUUCUAAAUGUGACAUGUGACUAGUGCCAACACUUUUAUUCCAGCUUUGCUGGAUGCCUGAUUCUGGGUAGAAGGAGAAACGAGUAAAACUAGGAAGUUAUUUAUGGUUAUCAUGCAGUUUAAUUAUUGAGAACAGAUUUUCUAUAUCAUUCCAUUCAUUCUUGUUUUUAGUAUUUCUCAUAUUCAUGGAAAAAAAGAGCCUAAUAAAAAUGAACUAAAAUUACUUCUUUUAACAUGCCAGCAACAUUUGCCUGUAUUUAACAUAAGUAAUAUAAUACUACAAGAGUAAUGAUGAACAACAGAAAGCACAAAAGUGCAACUGUCUUAAACAUAUGAAAAAAUUGACAGUACUCAAGUGUGUGAAGAAAGGUAGUGAAACUGAGUGACAUGUGAUUGUAUCACAAGAAGGAUGGCGGAAUGCUACAAUUCUAUGUUAGUAGCUGAACAUUGUUUUCUUAUACUACUUCCAGCUAGAUCUAAUAAAGACUAUAGACAGUAAAAGGCAGGUACUAUAGACCUUAUUCUAAACACUUCAAUAGUAUAUUGAUUACUUGCAUAAGGUAGUAUACUUUUUCAUUUUAUUUUUGUCUUUGUUUUAGUAUCGUCAGAAAGACUGACUCUUCCAGAAUCAGUUAAAGUUUAGAUGAUGAUGAUGCUGACAUUUGAGGUAUUGCUGUGAUGUUACAGCUGUAUAAGAGAGAGAAUUUGGUGCAACCUGUGUGGAGGACAAUGCGAUUUGAUUACCAGGGCCAAUUAUAGAAGCAGAGGGGCUGUGAUGAGCUAUUGGUCGACUGUAACAGGCACUGAUCAGUGCAUAUGCAAAUUAUUAUACAGAGUGGCAGUUAUACGGAAGGAAAGGGGUUAGGUAUAGCAUAAUGUACCUACUGAACAACAUGAAUAUUUUUACUUUUGUC
Long non-coding RNA from Schistocerca nitens (vagrant locust), 977 nucleotides. RefSeq lists it as uncharacterized. NCBI's taxonomy places the organism in Eukaryota, Metazoa, Arthropoda, Insecta, Orthoptera, Acrididae. The record is from RefSeq and is a predicted model, not a curated record. The transcript has 3 exons.